Molecule: ribosomal RNA, 335 nt
Filed under: Gromphadorhina portentosa (giant Madagascar hissing cockroach)
Lineage: Eukaryota; Metazoa; Arthropoda; Insecta; Blattodea; Blaberidae
Description: partial 12S ribosomal RNA
Source: RNAcentral
AGUAAUAGUUAUGAUCUUGAAACUUAAAGAAUUUGGCGGUAUUUUAGUCUGUUUAGAGGAAUCUGUCCCAUAAUCGAUAGUCCCGCGUUGAAUCUUUACUUAAUUUAUAAGGUAUGUAUACCGCCGUUUUAUUGAAUAUUUUUUUAGGAUAAUAUUUUCUUAAAAUGUAUAAUAUAAUGAUUUUACUUCAGGUCAAGGUGCAGCUUAUAAUUAAGGGGAGAUGGAUUACAAUAUUUUAAGGUAAACGGAUUGUGAUUUUGUAAUGAAUUAUUUGAAGGUGGAUUUAAUAGUAAUUUUUUGUAGAUUGUAAAUAUGAUUUAGGCUCUAAAAUAUGU